Molecule: unclassified non-coding RNA, 658 nt
Filed under: Athalia rosae (coleseed sawfly)
Lineage: Eukaryota; Metazoa; Arthropoda; Insecta; Hymenoptera; Athaliidae
Description: misc RNA ENSAEAG00005008286.1
Source: RNAcentral
CGGCAGCGGCCACGAUUAGCCGUGUGUUACCGCCGUUUACAAGUCCCACCCCACCGUCUAUACUUAGGCAACUCCUCACCCAAAGGUCAACGCACUCCCGCUGCACGUGUACGAGCUCGCGAGGAUAAUCAAAGUAUGCAGCGGCUACACACCAUUGGUCGGAAUAUUUACUACGCCAUCGCCAUACUAGAUGGUUUUGGCCCUGGGCCCCCGGGCCCUGGGCCUCCGAAGGCCGCUACUCCACGUAACUAACAAGCGAGAGUGACCGACGAACGCGGCGAACCGCCGACGCCGCCGCGACCAACGAACGUACGAAACAACGCAACGCAACUACUACCUACCUACCCACCACCACCGCCGCGCUACUUGUAACGCCAUUGAGAGAAAAAAACCUGCAACCGAUCGCUAACUGCACUCGACGACAAUUAUCGUCGUCGUCGUCGAGCUACGUAGCGAUCUCCCAUCCUUACGCCAAACUUAUUAAAUGAAUACCCGAUGAUAAAAAUAUAAUAUCAUCAUAGUCCAAAAGAGACUCCGAGGGUCGCGUACGCGCUGGUUGCACCGUAUGCACCUCAAAGCGCGUCCAAUGCUAAGUUUAUUGCGAUUAUAAAGUUCUGCAUAUGCGGUAGUAACACGGUGCGCUGUACGCGCGCCUAUG